UAAGCCUGUGAAGGUGGCCUGUGAGGGUUGCUGGAGGUAUCAGAAGUGCGAAUGCUGACAUAAGUAACGAUAAAGCGGGUGAAAAGCCCGCUCGCCGGAAGACCAAGGGUUCCUGUCCAACGUUAAUCGGGGCAGGGUGAGUCGACCCCUAAGGCGAGGCCGAAAGGCGUAGUCGAUGGGAAACGGGUUAAUAUUCCCGUACUUGGUGUUACUGCGAAGGGGGGACGGAGAAGGCUAUGUUGGCCGGGCGACGGUUGUCCCGGUUUAAGCGUGUAGGUGUGUGUUCCAGGUAAAUCCGGUUCACUUUAACACUGAGGCGUGACGACGAGGCACUACGGUGCUGAAGCAACAAAUGCCCUGCUUCCAGGAAAAGCCUCUAAGCAUCAGGUAACAUCAAAUCGUACCCCAAACCGACACAGGUGGUCAGGUAGAGAAUACCAAGGCGCUUGAGAGAACUCGGGUGAAGGAACUAGGCAAAAUGGUGCCGUAACUUCGGGAGAAGGCACGCUGACACGUAGGUGAAGUGAUUUACUCAUGGAGCUGAAGUCAGUCGAAGAUACCAGCUGGCUGCAACUGUUUAUUAAAAACACAGCACUGUGCAAACACGAAAGUGGACGUAUACGGUGUGACGCCUGCCCGGUGCCGGAAGGUUAAUUGAUGGGGUCAGCGCAAGCGAAGCUCCUGAUCGAAGCCCCGGUAAACGGCGGCCGUAACUAUAACGGUCCUAAGGUAGCGAAAUUCCUUGUCGGGUAAGUUCCGACCUGCACGAAUGGCGUAAUGAUGGCCAGGCUGUCUCCACCCGAGACUCAGUGAAAUUGAACUCGCUGUGAAGAUGCAGUGUACCCGCGGCAAGACGGAAAGACCCCGUGAACCUUUACUAUAGCUUGACACUGAACAUUGAGCCUUGAUGUGUAG
Molecule: ribosomal RNA, 915 nt
Filed under: Salmonella enterica subsp. enterica serovar Muenchen
Lineage: Bacteria; Pseudomonadati; Pseudomonadota; Gammaproteobacteria; Enterobacterales; Enterobacteriaceae
Also listed under: 6 other names
Description: partial 23S ribosomal RNA
Rfam family: Bacterial large subunit ribosomal RNA
Source: RNAcentral